CAGUAGCCGCGGGAAAACCAGCACCUCGAGUGGUCAUGAGGUUUAUUGGGCCUAAAGCAUCCGUAGCCGGUUGCAUAAGUUUUCGGUUAAAUCUAUGCGCUUAACGUAUAGGCCGCCGAAAAUACUGUGCAGCUAGGGAGUGGGAGAGGUACACGGUACUCGAUAGGAAGGGGUAAAAUCCUUUGAUCUAUUGAUGACCACCUGUGGCGAAGGCGGUGUACCAGAACACGUUCGACGGUGAGGGAUGAAAGCUGGGGGAGCAAACCGGAUUAGAGACCCCUGUAGUCCCUGUCUCUUAUAC
RNAcentral lists this ribosomal RNA (301 nucleotides) under uncultured bacterium. RNAcentral's name for it is "partial 16S ribosomal RNA". It matches the Rfam family "Archaeal small subunit ribosomal RNA", at positions 459 to 760 of the family's 1478-position model. The record is from RNAcentral.